Molecule: ribosomal RNA, 468 nt
Filed under: uncultured bacterium
Lineage: Bacteria
Description: partial 16S ribosomal RNA
Rfam family: Bacterial small subunit ribosomal RNA
Source: RNAcentral
GACGAACGCUGGCGGCGUGCUUAACACAUGCAAGUCGAACGGAAAGGCCCUGCUUUUGUGGGGUGCUCGAGUGGCGAACGGGUGAGUAACACGUGAGUAACCUGCCCUUGACUUUGGGAUAACUUCAGGAAACUGGGGCUAAUACCGGAUAGGAGCUCCUGCUGCAUGGUGGGGGUUGGAAAGUUUCGGCGGUUGGGGAUGGACUCGCGGCUUAUCAGCUUGUUGGUGGGGUAGUGGCUUACCAAGGCUUCGACGGGUAGCCGGCCUGGGAGGGUGACCGGCCACAUUGGGACUGAGAUACGGCGCAGACUGCUACGGGAGGCAGCAGUGGGGAAUAUUGCAGAAUGGGCGGAAGCCUGAUGCAGCAACGCCGCGUGCGGGAUGACGGCCUUCGGGUUGUAAACCGCUUUCGCCGGUGACGAAGCGUGAGUGACGGUAAUGGGUAAAGAAGCACCGGCUAACUACGUG